UUUAAAUUAAGGUAUGCACUUUGAUUUCUAGACAAUGCUCUGCAUACUUAAUAGACCACAAUAUAGUGUAAACAUAACAUAUAUAUAUAUAUAUGUUAUGUUUACACUAUAUUUUAUAUAUAUACACACACAUAUAUAUACUGGGAAACCAAAAGUUUGUUUGAAUCCCUUUAUUGCUAUGUUUGCUUUAUUGCAGUGGUCUGGAACUGAACCUGCAAUAUAUCUGAGAUAUCCCUGUAUCAGCUCCAGUGUAAAACACUCAUGA
Molecule: long non-coding RNA, 265 nt
Filed under: Aotus nancymaae (Ma's night monkey)
Lineage: Eukaryota; Metazoa; Chordata; Mammalia; Primates; Aotidae
Description: lncRNA (ENSANAG00000039122.1)
Source: RNAcentral